GACGAACGCUGGCGGCGUGCCUAAUACAUGCAAGUAGAACGCUGAAGGAGGAGCUUGCUCUUCUGGAUGAGUUGCGAACGGGUGAGUAACGCGUAGGUAACCUGCCUGGUAGCGGGGGAUAACUAUUGGAAACGAUAGCUAAUACCGCAUAACAGUAGAUGUUGCAUGACAUUUGCUUAAAAGGUGCAAUUGCACCACUACCAGAUGGACCUGCGUUGUAUUAGCUAGUUGGUGGGGUAACGGCUCACCAAGGCGACGAUACAUAGCCGACCUGAGAGGGUGAUCGGCCACACUGGGACUGAGACACGGCCCAGACUCCUACGGGAGGCAGCAGUAGGGAAUCUUCGGCAAUGGACGGAAGUCUGACCGAGCAACGCCGCGUGAGUGAAGAAGGUUUUCGGAUCGUAAAGCUCUGUUGUAAGAGAAGAACGAGUGUAAGAGUGGAAAGUUCACGCUGGACG
This 461-nucleotide ribosomal RNA is filed under the name Streptococcus sp. oral taxon 064. RNAcentral's name for it is "bacterial SSU rRNA". It matches the Rfam family "Bacterial small subunit ribosomal RNA", at positions 28 to 474 of the family's 1533-position model. The record is from RNAcentral. Lineage: Bacteria; Bacillati; Bacillota; Bacilli; Lactobacillales; Streptococcaceae.